UGAGGAAUAUUGCGCAAUGGGGGAAACCCUGACGCAGCAACGCCGCGUGGGUGAAGAAGGCCUUCGGGUUGUAAAGCCCUGUCAGGUGGGAAGAAACCUCGGUAGGUGAAUAGUCUACCGAACUGACGGUACCACCAAAGGAAGCACCGGCUAACUCCGUGCCAGCAGCCGCGGUAAGACGGAGGGUGCAAGCGUUGUUCGGAAUUACUGGGCGUAAAGAGCGUGUAGGCGGUCUGGUAAGUCGAGUGUGAAAGCCCGAGGCUCAACUUCGGAAGUGCACUCGAAACUGUCAGGCUUGAGUACGGGAGAGGGAAGUGGAAUUCCUGGUGUAGAGGUGAAAUUCGUAGAUAUCAGGAGGAACACCGGUGGCGAAGGCGGCUUCCUGGACCGAUACUGACGCUGAGACGCGAAAGCGUGGGGAGCAAACAGG
This 430-nucleotide ribosomal RNA is filed under the name uncultured bacterium. RNAcentral's name for it is "bacterial SSU rRNA". It matches the Rfam family "Bacterial small subunit ribosomal RNA", at positions 355 to 776 of the family's 1533-position model. The record is from RNAcentral.